AGGACGAUCGCCGGCGGCGUGCUUAACACAUGCAAGUCGAACAGGAGUUACCUUGGAAGCUUGCUUUUGAGAUAACUUAUUGGCGGACGGGUGAGUAACCCGUGAGUAAUCUGUCUCACACAGGGGAAUAACGCACCGAAAGUUGUGCUAAUACCGCAUGAGACCACAGAGGGGCAUCCCUUAGGGGUCAAAGAUUUAGCGGUGUGAGGUGAUCUCGCGUCCCGUUAGAUAGUUGGUGAGGUAACGGCCCACCAAGACGACGAUGGAUAGGCGACCUGAGAGGGCGAUCGGCCACAUUGGAACUGACAUACGGUCCAAACUCCUACGGGAGGCAGCAGUGGGGAAUAUUGUGCUAUGGGCGGAACCCUGACCCAGCUACGCCGCGUGAGGGAAGAAGGUUUUCAGAUUGUAAGCCUCAGUCCUCGGGGAAAACAAGAAGAUGGUACCCGGGGAGGAACCUCCGGCUAACUACGUGCCUCCGUCCGCGGUAAUACGUUAGGAGCUAGGGUUUUCCCCGAUUGUUGGGGCGUAAAGGGCGUGUGGGGGGCCUGUUAAGUUUGGAAUUAAAGUCAUGUUUUUAAGGGGGGAAUUCUUUUGGGUACUGAUGGGGUUGAGUGUGGGAGAGGUUAUCGGAAUUUUCAGUGUAGCGGUGAAAUGUGUAGAGAUUGGGAAGCACUCCAGUGGCGAAGUCGGGUAAUUGGAUCGCCACUGACGCUGAGGCGCGAAAGUGUGGGGAGCAAACUGGAUUAGAUACCCUGGUAGUCCACACUGUAAACGAUGAAUGCUAGGUGUAGGGGGUAUCGACCCCUUCUGUGCCGCAGUAAACACAAUAAGCAUUCCGCAUGGGGAGUACGGCCGCAAGGUUGAAACUCAAAGGAAUUGACGGGGGCCCGCACAAGCAGCGGAGCAUGUGGUUUAAUUGGACGCAACGUGAAGAACCUUACCAGGUCUUGACAUCCAAUUAAAGCUGUAGAGAUAUUGUGUGCUGUUUGGAGCGAAUUGAGACAGGUGGUGCAUGGUCGUCGUCAGCUCGUGUCGUGAGAUGUUGGGUUAAGUCCUGCAACGAGCGCAACCCUUACGGAUAGUUAGUAACACGCAAAGGUGAGGACUGUAUCAGGACUGCCGGGGACAACUCGGAGGAAGGUGGGGACGACGUCAAAUCAUCAUGCCCCUUAUGACUUGGGCUACACACGUGCUACAAUGGCCGUAACAAAGAGGAGCAAGCCCGCAAGGGUAAGCAGAUCUCAAAAAAGCGGUCUCAGUUUGGAUUGUGGGCUGCAACCCGCCCACAUGAAGUCGGAGUUGUUAGUAAUCGCAGAUCAGCAUGCUGCGGUGAAUACGUUCCCUGGGCCUUGUACACACCGCCC
RNAcentral lists this ribosomal RNA (1367 nucleotides) under uncultured bacterium. RNAcentral describes it as "16S ribosomal RNA". It matches the Rfam family "Bacterial small subunit ribosomal RNA", at positions 26 to 1395 of the family's 1533-position model. The record is from RNAcentral.